CAAGGCACGAUUUGCUGACCCAUUAUAAGCGCAAACUCGGGACUUUGGUCGCCCUGCAAGGUGAAUUGGGCGGUGUAGGGGUAGUCAGUCGGUAGUAGUUCCUACCAGGCACGCACGACUUGCAGACCCAUUAUAAGUGCAGACACAGGACUUUGCUUGCACUGCAAGGUGAAUGUGGCGUUGUAAGGGGCGCUCAUAGUCGUUCCAACAAGACACGAUUUGCUGACCCAUUAUAAGCGCAAACUCAGG
This is a long non-coding RNA of Engraulis encrasicolus (European anchovy), 249 nucleotides long. RefSeq lists it as uncharacterized. The record is from RefSeq and is a predicted model, not a curated record. Lineage: Eukaryota; Metazoa; Chordata; Actinopteri; Clupeiformes; Engraulidae. The transcript has 3 exons.